CAGUAGCCGCGGUAAUGCGUAGGUGGCAAGCGUUGUCCGGAAUUAUUGGGCGUAAAGGGCUCGCAGGCGGUUUCUUAAGUCUGAUGUGAAAGCCCCCGGCUCAACCGGGGAGGGUCAUUGGAAACUGGGAAACUUGAGUGCAGAAGAGGAGAGUGGAAUUCCACGUGUAGCAGUGAAAUGCGUAGAGAUGUGGAGGAACACCAGUGGCGAAGGCGACUCUCUGGUCUGUAACUGACGCUGAGGAGCGAAAGCGUGGGGAGCGAACAGGAUUAGAUACCCCAGUAGUCCCUGUCUCUUAUAC
RNAcentral lists this ribosomal RNA (301 nucleotides) under uncultured bacterium. RNAcentral describes it as "partial 16S ribosomal RNA". It matches the Rfam family "Bacterial small subunit ribosomal RNA", at positions 509 to 807 of the family's 1533-position model. The record is from RNAcentral.